UUUAAAAGAAAACAGAGCAUCAUAUGAAAAAAAAAAGGUUAACACAAGCUUUAGGUAUUUUUUUUUUUUUAAUUUUGCUAUUUCCAGAGAAGUGACGGUUCCCUGUUAAUCUUUAUUGACCCUAUAUCAAAGACAUAUACAUACAGUUAUCUCUGUUAAGCUUUGAAACAUCUAUUCUAAAGAAAAGUAUGUGUGGGAAAAAAAACAGCAAUAAAUCGGGUUUAUUUU
Non-coding RNA from Pelobates cultripes (western spadefoot toad), 228 nucleotides. The record is from the annotation of a GenBank genome assembly. NCBI's taxonomy places the organism in Eukaryota, Metazoa, Chordata, Amphibia, Anura, Pelobatidae.